This 502-nucleotide ribosomal RNA is filed under the name uncultured bacterium. RNAcentral's name for it is "partial 16S ribosomal RNA". It matches the Rfam family "Bacterial small subunit ribosomal RNA", at positions 30 to 523 of the family's 1533-position model. The record is from RNAcentral.
AUUGAACGCUGGCGGAAUGCUUUACACAUGCAAGUCGAACGGCAGCACGGGUGCUUGCACCUGGUGGCGGGUGGCGGACGGGUGAGUAAUGCAUCGGAACGUGCCGUAUAGUGGGGGAUAACGCAUCGAAAGGUGUGCUAAUACCGCAUACGCCCUGAGGGGGAAAGUGGGGGACCGUAAGGCCUCACGCUAUACGAGCGGCCGAUGUCUGAUUAGCUAGUUGGUGGGGUAAAGGCUCACCAAGGCGACGAUCGGUAGCUGGUCUGAGAGGACGACCAGCCACACUGGGACUGAGACACGGCCCAGACUCCUACGGGAGGCAGCAGUGGGGAAUUUUGGACAAUGGGGGCAACCCUGAUCCAGCCAUUCCGCGUGAGUGAAGAAGGCCUUCGGGUUGUAAAGCUCUUUUGUCAGGGAGGAAAUCCUUAGCGUUAAUACCGUUGGGGGAUGACAGUACCUGAAGAAUAAGGACCGGCUAGCUACGUGCCAGCCGCCGCAGUAA